CGCGUAGGCGGCCUGGUAAGUCAGUUGUGAAAGCCCUCGGCUCAACCGAGGAAUUGCGACUGAAACUGCCGGGCUUGAGUCCCGGAGAGGGUAGUGGAAUUCCCAGUGUAGCGGUGAAAUGCGUAGAUACUGGGAGGAACAUCAGUGGCGAAGGCGACUACCUGGACGGGUACUGACGCUGAGGUGCGAAAGCGUGGGGAGCAAACA
This 207-nucleotide ribosomal RNA is filed under the name uncultured bacterium. RNAcentral's name for it is "partial 16S ribosomal RNA". It matches the Rfam family "Bacterial small subunit ribosomal RNA", at positions 568 to 774 of the family's 1533-position model. The record is from RNAcentral.